This 450-nucleotide ribosomal RNA is filed under the name uncultured bacterium. Its description in RNAcentral is "partial 16S ribosomal RNA". It matches the Rfam family "Bacterial small subunit ribosomal RNA", at positions 354 to 796 of the family's 1533-position model. The record is from RNAcentral.
GUGGGGAAUAUUGGACAAUGGGCGAAAGCCUGAUCCAGCCAUGCCGCGUGUGUGAAGAAGGCCUUCGGGUUGUAAAGCACUUUAAGCGAGGAGGAAAGGUUGAAGGUUAAUACCCUUUAGCUGUGACGUUACUCGCAGAAUAAGCACCGGCAAACUUCGUGCCAGCAGCCGCGGUAAUACGAAGGGUGCAAGCGUUAAUCGGAAUUACGGGGCGUAAAGCGCGCGUAGGUGGUUAAGUAAGCGAUCUGUGAAAGCCCCGGGCUCAACCUGGGAAUUGCAGGUCGAACUGCUUGGCUAGAGUAUGGUAGAGGGGUGUGGAAUUCCAGGUGUAGCGGUGAAAUGCGUAGAUAUCUGGAGGAACAUCAGUGGCGAAGGCGACACCCUGGACCGAUACUGACACUGAGGUGCGAAAGCGUGGGUAGCGAACAGGAUUAGAAACCCCAGUAGUCC